RNAcentral lists this long non-coding RNA (8453 nucleotides) under Lynx pardinus (Iberian lynx). The record is from RNAcentral. Lineage: Eukaryota; Metazoa; Chordata; Mammalia; Carnivora; Felidae.
GAGAAGCAGCUGUGAAGUCAUAAUUAUGUUCACUUCCCACUGGCAACUGGCAAGCCCUUUAUUUUUGUGUAUUUGGAGCUCACCAAGAAUAAAGUCCAUUCCCUCCUUGAGGGGCCAUUAUGCCAUUCCAUCUAGGAAUUCACAGUUUGCCAGUUCCUAAAACAUUUAUUGUUAUAAAUAGCUUUGUGCUCUUAAAAGGGGGGUGGGGGGCUUAUGAAAUGAAGUAAGGGGAAAAUCUCAAAAGAAUAUGAAAAAAAAUCAACAUCAUCUCCAAGAUAUAGCAACAAAUUUGCUAGCUUUUAAAAACUUAUAAUUAUCAUUGGUGGUUAAUUGGUGCCAUAGAUUACACAGUACUGACAUGUAAUUUUCUAAAACAAAGAGCUUUUUAUUGUGUUACAUUGUGCUGUAGAUUUAGGGACUUUUUAUUUUAUUUUUACACAUUGAAGAACAAAGGGUGAAAGUCUUGAAACAUGCAAGGAUUUAGAUAAUGAAUUGCACCCUAAAUUUAGAAAAUAUAUCAGACAAUACAGAAUGAUUCAUGGUAGGAAUUUGUGAUCCUGCAAAGGCAAGUUAUUGGGACUUUUGUUUAUAAAUAAGCCAACUUCUCUUGGCUCAGACCUGGAUGUGAGCCAGCAACAGUAAUGAACAUUUCUUCUGCUUCACACAGACCUUCAAAAAGGUCAGAACCAGAGUACUUUAUUUAUGUUUUAUGGGAAGAUGUAUUUAAUGUUUGUGAAUCCAUUUGGAUAAUAACAUUGAUUUUAAUGGGCUGAUAGAUGUAUUUGUCUUUUAAUGUCCAUUAUGAUAAUGAUCACCUAGAGCCUAUGAAAAAUUCAACAUUUACUUGUUGAUUAGUCUGUUUUUUCUUCAUAGGUGCUCUUGCUUCUUAACCAAAAUUUUUAGGAAUCACUAGCCUCUCAAAAGGUAACCCCAUUUGUCUGAGGGUAUGAACAGACUGUAGAUUCACGAUUCUGACUUUACCCUUUGUCUGGAAAAGCAACCUUGGAUUUGGUAUUUAAUGUUUUCUUUGCUGUCUGGCCUGUGAAGAAACACUUCUGAGGGGAGAUGGAUGUUUGUCUAUGACUCUAUUGUUUAAAGAGUGGGGCUCUUUCUGCAUGAAGGUCAGAAAGAAAGACUGGGAGCCCAAAUGAAAGCAUUCGUACUUUGUAAACAUAGGCCACAUGCCCCAGUCUGAAUUGAAUUGAUGGUAAUGCUGCAAAGCAAAAUGUAGCAAACUUGGGAAUGAACCCAGAAGGCACAGGGCCUGAGUAAACUAAAAAGAAAGCAAAGGGAGACCUCAGGAGCCCUCUGCAUCUAAGAUGAGUUUCUCUUUUGAAUUUUAUUUCUUAAAGAAGAGUAUCACACACAGAGAUGUACUCAUGGAAUUUGCAUUCAGUAAGUGAUGACUUUUUGACAUUUAGUUCAAGUUUUCUUUCAAGAGAAAUGGUCCAACUGGUACUUUGGAAUUACUUCGUAAUUAAGCAGACCUUUUGGUAUACCAUAUGCAACCACCAAAUCUAAAGUCAUGGGUCCUAUAGCCUUUCCAGCAUUUUUAAAUCUCAUGUUUUAGGGUGAUUUAAUAUUUUAUUUAGAGAAAAAGACAGUGAAAUACAGGCAGUAUGCAUUUAAGCAUAAAAAAUAUUCUUUCACACAGAUAAUGAGAACUCUGACCCCGAUUUGCUAUUCCAGUGGGAGCUGCAACCAGCACCACUACCAGCCAUAAUAGCCAAUGGAUUGGCCAUUCCACAGUGGGCUUCACUUGAAGUCAAUAGAUAAAUCCAGGAGACAGAGCAAGAAAACAUAAAUAAAGACAAUAGUAAAUAAAGGAAGUAAAAUAAAUAUGCAUCUGUAGAUAAAGUGAUAAAAUAAAUUAAUAAAUUAAUGGCGAUAAGGCAUCAAUUUUCCGUCUGAUUUACAUGACCUCAUUUGCACUUUUUUUUAUUUUAGAGAGAGGGAGUGUGAGUGGGGGAGGGGCAGAGAGAGAGGGAGUGAAAGAAUCCCAAGCAGGCUCCAUGCUCAGUGUGGAGUCCCACAUGGGGCUCCAUCCCACGACCCUGGAAUCAUGACCUGAGCCAAAAUCAAGAGUUGAAUGCUCAACCGACUGAACCACCCACGUCCCCCCUCAUUUGUACUUUUAUACUGGUUUGCUCUAAAAUGGUAACUGCGAAUUGGUUGAAUUGGUACUGUAGUCACUGGUUAAGAUUUGUCAGUAGGAAUAUUACAUGGUACCACAGGGUCACCUUGCUUUCCUAUCUCUGAAGUUCCUUUAGUUCUUUUAUUUAUUCACCAAUUUAUUUAUUCAACAAGCCUCCAUUAAACAUCUGCCAUGAUUCAAAUUUUGAGUCUCUCCCUUCCUUAAAAUUGCAAAUUAUACAUGUAAGAAAUCAAUUUAAAAAAAUAAAUAAAUGUGCUUUUAAUUUUCAUCUCCAUUAAGAAGAAAUGUGUGCUUUUUUUUGUUUUUUUGCCUUUUUCGUUUUCAGAGGUAAAUAUGCUACUAUUCUGUACAUUUUUAAUCUUUAUAGGAACAGUCUGGAAAGUUUUGGGGAAGGGCAGAGUUUAUCAUAUUAACUUCAAAAGGUCAGGUAUGUACCUCAAUUCUCAUUUGUUUCCAUUAAGAAUAUGUUAGGAAUCCAUAAACUUAUAUAAACUUUAAAAUAUUCUGAGAUUUGGUGAGGAAAUCCAAGUCUACCCAGUUCAAACCUGUAGGAUAUGCCAAACUCCAAUUGUUUUAUCUUAAAUUAUUUUUUUUAAUAUUAUUUACUUUUGAGAGAGAGAGAGAGAGAGAGAGCAUGAGCAGGGGAGGGGCAGAGAGAGAAGGAGACACAGAAUCCGAAGCAGGCUCCAGGUUCUGAGCUGUCAGCACAGAGCUGGACACAGGGCUUGAACUCGCGAACCGUGAGAUCAUGACCUGAGCCGGUUGGCCACUCAACCGACUGAGCUACCAGGUGCCCCAAAACUUCUUAUUAAAUGUCAGGUAUUUGCUUUCCAAAUCGUAGAACAAGUAAGAGCACUGUGGUUAGAGAAACCCUGUCCCCUGCCCAAAGUCUUUCCAAAUCUGCUCAUUUAACCUCUUCGGUAUGUCAUUUGCUUCCUGAAGCAAGACUAACAGUACUUCUUUUCUCUGGUCUGUCUCUUAACAAAAAUGUGAAGUAAUCAGAAUAUAGCGCACUUGUUGUCAGCUCCCCUUUCUGUGUUCCUUUCUCCUCCACACUCCCACUGAUUUUCCACCUAUAGGUGGAUGUGACUCAGAGGAAAUGAAGAAACAUUAUAUUUCCUGCACCCUGUAUUGUGGAAUAAAUUAAAAUCUGCCAACAGUUGUUCAUUGCAUAUGUACAAUGGAUAAAAGAGCUAAGGUCUGGGGGUUCAAAGAUAAAAAACACAGUUCAUACUCCUGAGUAAAUAGGCAAUUUCAGGGAUGGGACAGAAACAAUCAUAUAAGCCCAAUGUGAUGUGCUGUAAUUUAGGCAUAGAUAAUAUGCUCCUAGGGCAAAGAGGAAGGAAUAAUUCCAACAAAUUGGAUGGGAAUAGCUGGGAGGUGCUGAGGCAAAUUUCUUGGAGCCUAUAGCAUUUGAACUGAUCUGGAAGGAUGAUUAUAAAAGAUUUCAAUUGACAGAGAAAGCAAAGGUAGAGAAAACUGCAUGAGCCAAUGCAAGAACAUUCUUACAUUCUCAGCUUUUUAUAUUCUCACAGGACAUUAUCUUUAGCAAUGUAAAAAUGAUUACACAAGGUAAUAAACAAUCUAUAGAGUGAUCAAGAAAAAGGCCUCUGGGACUAAAUAUUCUGCCUUCAAUCACUAGACUAAGACCUAGGCUAAGGGGAUUAACUCUCUAUUCUGUAAUAUUGCCAAUUAUGCAAUAAGGAUAAGAAGAACACUUCCCCAUUGGAGCAUUCUUUAUAGUUACUUUUAUAAAGACUUAAGUGUAUGGAAAUCUGGGCCCAGUGACUGACUCACAAACACUCAAUAAAUGAUUCUAAUGUUUUCUUAUCAUCAUUAUUAUUUCUGCCAAUAAUAAUUGUAUACCUAAUAAAAAUAAUUAUUUCUCCACAAAAUCAAGAGGCAAUUUAAAUAUAAAACAAAAUUUUAAACUAAAGGUAUUUAUACUUAAUAGAAUUUUUAACUCAGUUACCUGAUGGGAAAAGGAUUUAGGAGAAAGAAGGGAAACAUUCUAGCAUCUUUCAAAUCACAUGAGGUAGUUGACUCUAUAUUCCAAAGGUUUACUAUCUUUGCUCAGUGGCAUUCAUAUUGCCAUAGAGAAGAUUUGCUGGUUCCAGGGCAUUAUGCUGACAUAUAGAAUAUUCCAUCUACAUAAGAUUUGGGUUAUGGAGCUUUAGAAUUAUUAAUUCCAGUGAUGAUAGUAUGGUUCCUUGGGUUACUAAUUAAAGUAUGGAAUGAGGAGGACAAUGAACACACUCUCUUUUUCACUAAAGAAAAAAUCAGUAUCUUUCAAGAGCUAUUAAACCAAACUCAACUAAAUAUUUUUGAAAUAUGUGUUAAUUCUUUCCACAAAUUUGCUAAAUAAGAAGGAGGGGAAUCUUAUAAGUCUUCAAGCAAAUAAUGAGACCCUGUGGGGUCUCGUCAAGCCCUACUCUGUUCUAUAGCUCACAGAAUGGGUCCAGCAGAAGGAAUUUAGGGGAAAAAAUGCUAAUCCUCACCACAAUGAUGGCCCUAUCCAGCCACUGUACAAGCUUCAGCAUCUAGGACUGGCUUCUGUUCCCAAGUGUCCUGUCAUCUCCCCUCUAUAACACUCUUUCAUCUGAAUGUUAUUCAGAGAGAAUUCUAUUACUAUCUAUCAGUUGCACAGUCAGCAUGUAUAUUCUUUUGCCUAUCCACAGAAAUUGUGGAAGCACCAGCAUUUCUUCAGCCCUUCUAAAUCAGUACUUGAUAGUUCACUCAAUCCAUAUUUUAGUUUGAACAUACAGGCUCUACUUGUAUCUGAUAGUAUUUAUUUAAUUAACAAAUUAGAAAUAAUUCCUGUGUCUUCUAACUGUAUCUAAGAAAAUUUUCCCUUUACCACACCAUUUUAGAAUGUUUAUUUACAAUAUGCUAGAAAGAUAAUCAUAUUCUUAGCAAUUUUUAAUUAAUAUAAAAUGUAUAGUAUCCUGAAGUUUAUUUUGUUAUAGCUAUAUCUGUCAUUUUUUAAAGAAAGCCUCUGCCCAGAAAAUGUGGAAGAAAUCAUCUGUCUCAAGAGCUUGGUGUUCUUGACUAUUCUGAAAUUCUUUAAAUAAAAUAUAAUAUGGAAGAUGUGUUCUGCAUGUCAAGACUGUUUCACUGUGAGGCCUUCAGAGCCAGAAAACAGGCUUAAGAUAAUUAGACAUGAACAAAACACUUUAGCCACUUUUUUUUUCAUCUAAUAAGGAAGUGAUUAUUAUAAGAUGGGCCAUGAGUGCCCAGACAACAGGUAUAGAUUCUUUCUAAAAUUAAUUUUAAAAAUAGGCAAUAUCUUCUUAAGAAUCUCGGCAUUUAAAUCCUCUCUCUUUACAUGUUUUUGCAGGAAACAUGGAAUGUAUGAAAGAAGAUGAAUAUAAUCAAUAGCAGUUUAAUAACACAUUUACCUGAAUUAAUCAGAUUAUCCACAAACAGCUCAUUAGCGGCAAUAGAAGUCUAUGGAGAAUGAAUCUAAUAUGGGGCUGUAAGUAAGUCUCUAAUAUUUCAAGGAAGAUUUUUCUGUUAAUCACAUAUGAAAGAUGCAGUCACUCAUGAUAAAUAAUUGUUGGUCCUCCUAAAAAACAUGGGGCAACUCAGGGGCACCUCAGUAAGUUUUUACUGCACCAAAGAUAACAAAUUCAUGAACAAAAAAGAGAUUUUUCAAUCUAGAGGAAAAGAUGAAAGGUUUUAAGCGGCGGUGGUCAUCACCAGGAAAACUCUGGUUAAGUUAACAGUUUUCUAGGAAGACACCAUUGCGGACGACACCGCAGAAAUCAACCUAACCUGGAAGUUCAUUGUGUGUUCCAUUUAACUUUUCUUUUUCUUUUUUUUUUUUUUUUUUCAACAUUUAUUUAUUUUUGGGACAGAGAGAGACAGAGCAUGAACGGGGGAGGGGCAGAGAGAGAGGGAGACACAGAAUCGGAAACAGGCUCCAGGCUCCGAGCCAUCAGCCCAGAGCCUGAUGCGGGGCUCGAACUCACGGACCGCAAGAUCGUGACCUGGCUGAAGUCGGACGCUUAACCGACUGCGCCACCCAGGCGCCCCCCAUUUAACUUUUCUAUAUGGCAGCAAACUCCUUGUUGUAAGGUCCUACUGGGAAUGAAGUGACCCAUUCCCCAACUCAUUCAUAGAGGCACAAAAGUGAAGACUGAUGUAUUCAUUAUGCUGUUGUUGUUUUUGAACUACAGAAACUUCAAUAUUCCUUAGCUGUGAACAACUAAUAAUGGAUUAUUUCCCUUACUUGAUACUAUCUGUAAGGUUUUUUCUUUUUAUUAAGACUUUGGUUAUUUUUAAAAGCAAUUUAAGGUGUAUAGCAAAAUUAGGGGUAAGGUACAGAGAUUUCCUGUAUACCCCUGCCACCACAGGUGUGUAGCCUUUCCCAUUGUCCAUGUAAUGCACCAGAGUGGUACAUUGGUUACAACUGAUAUAACUACAUUGACACAUCAUAAUCACCCAAAGUCCAUAGUUAUUACUAGGGCUCACUCUUGGUGUGUUCAUUCCUUGGGUUUGGGCGAAUGUAUAAAGAAAUGUAUCCAUCAUUCUGAUAUCAUCCAGAGUUUUUUCACUCUCCUAAAAAUCUUCUGGACUCUGCCUAUUCAUCCUCCCCUCCCCCCCCCCCCCCCCCCCCACCAUGAUCCAAGUCCUAACAACCACUGGUCUUUUCACCAUAAGAUAAUAGUUUUUGUCGUUGUUCUUGUUUAGCCAGGAGCUCUCCAUAGUUUUGUCUUUUAAAGAAUGUCCUAUAGUUGGAAUCAGAUAAUAUGUAGCUUUUCCAGAUUGUCUUCUUUCACUUAGUAAUAUGCAUUUAGGUUUCUUUCAUGUGUUUUCAUGACUUAGUAGUUCAUUUCCUUUUAGCACUUAGUAGUAUUUCUUUGUGUGGAUGGACCACACUUUAUUCAUCCAUUCACCUACUGAAGAACAUUGUGCUUCCAUGUUUCUACAGUUAUGAAUAAGUCUGCUACAAACAUCCAUAUGUACAUUUUUGUGCGAACAUAAGUUUUCAGUUCCUUCAGGUAAAUACCAAGGAGUUAAUUGCUGAUCGUCCGGUAAGAACAUGUUUAGUUUUAUGAUAAAAUUGUCAAACUAUCUUCCAAAGUGUCUGUGUCCUCUGAGCCAUCUUCAUCACUCACUGGGGACAUGUAUCAUUCUAAGCCAAUGAUAUCAACCAUAACUGCACUGUGAACAGUAAUCCUAUCUUUCUCUCAGCAUUCCCUUUCCUCCUAAUUAAGGGUGUUAUGCAUAGAUGUUCUUCUUUCUUCUCUGACUUUCAUCACUUAAAACUUUGUUGAUUUCACCUGAGACAAACCUACAUCCAUAUUUAACCAUCUUUACUGCUUCCUUUUCCCUUUCAACUCUUCCCCACUUACCUGACUAAAAUUUCUAUUCCAUUUUUCUGUUUCUUCUUCUAUAAAUUCCAGAAAUGGCCCCAAUUUGAACAGAAAAUACAAGAAUAAUUCAAAUAAAAAGAAAGCCAUGUUUCAAAGGUAAUUUAUAUAUAAUUAGAAAAAAACCAAUGCCUUUAUCUUCAAAAAUUCCUAAAAAUAUUCUGACUUCCCUUUCAGAAUUUCUAUAAAAUAUAUCAACUAUAUCUUCCUUCUCUUUUUAGUAAUCAAGCUUCUUAUUAAGCUAUACAUAUUCGAAAUAAAUAGCACACUAGUUUAUCCAAUUGGAGUUGACAUUCUAUUGCAUAUAUUACAUUAUAAACCCUUAAGGUAUAUUAUAUGUUAAUUACACUUUGGAAGUUAGCCUAAAAAUCUAACUGCAGUGGUCAAACAACUAAUUCACUAGGAUACUUUUAGAAAAUAACUAAUUUUCAAGUUGGGGGUUUAUUGUAUAACUGUAUGAAAUCAUAAAUCUCAAAGUUUUUAAACUAUAUAACUUCAGUAUCAAGAUACUUCAUAUUUUUGCUAGGCUGCCCUCCGUGUUCAACUUUAUCUCUAGUGACUAUAUCAAAAUAGAACAGAUCUGAAAGCAAAAACAAAGAAUUGAACUCCAAACAUGAAACAAGUAACAAACAGAAAAUAUCUCUGAGAAAUGCCUUAUAAUUCUAAAGUAAAUGUAGGAAUACAUUUUCACAGAAAUACUGCUUAUGAAAUUAAACCGGUUACAAACAAUAAGGGAAUAAUUUGAAAGAGCCAUUAAUUAGAUUAAUGGAACAAUUUCACUCUCCCUUUAUCUCUAGAUGCCAUAUCCAGCAUAAUAAAUUAUACUGAAGUUCAUUGUUGUUGUUUUUAUUUCAGUCUGGUCAAAAAUACUGAGUGAAAUACAAAAAGCAGAUGAACAAAUGAAGUCCAAAUGAAUUAAGUAU